RNAcentral lists this ribosomal RNA (176 nucleotides) under uncultured bacterium. RNAcentral describes it as "partial 16S ribosomal RNA". It matches the Rfam family "Bacterial small subunit ribosomal RNA", at positions 1207 to 1382 of the family's 1533-position model. The record is from RNAcentral.
UCUAGGGCUACACACGUCCUACAAUGGGGUCGACAGUGGGAUGCAAAGCCGCGAGGUGGAGCCAAAUCCCCAAACGGCCUCUCAGUUCGGAUAGUAGUCUGCAACUCGACUACUUGAAGUCGGAAUCGCUAGUAAUGGCGGAUCAGCAUGCCGCCGUGAAUACGUUCCCGGGUCUU